AAUCCACUAGUUUAACGGUAAAAUAGUUGGCUGUUAACCAAUCUGAUGUUGGUUCGAAUCCAGCGUGGAUCG
Molecule: transfer RNA, 72 nt
Filed under: Paramoeba pemaquidensis
Lineage: Eukaryota; Discosea; Flabellinia; Dactylopodida; Paramoebidae
Description: tRNA-Asn
Rfam family: tRNA
About the family: Transfer RNA (tRNA) molecules are approximately 80 nucleotides in length. Their secondary structure includes four short double-helical elements and three loops (D, anti-codon, and T loops). Further hydrogen bonds mediate the characteristic L-shaped molecular structure. tRNAs have two regions of fundamental functional importance: the anti-codon, which is responsible for specific mRNA codon recognition, and the 3' end, to which the tRNAs corresponding amino acid is attached (by aminoacyl-tRNA synthetases). tRNAs cope with the degeneracy of the genetic code in two manners: having more than one tRNA (with a specific anti-codon) for a particular amino acid; and 'wobble' base-pairing, i.e. permitting non-standard base-pairing at the 3rd anti-codon position.
Source: RNAcentral